This 1971-nucleotide ribosomal RNA is filed under the name Neurospora crassa. Its description in RNAcentral is "bacterial SSU rRNA". It matches the Rfam family "Bacterial small subunit ribosomal RNA". Lineage: Eukaryota; Fungi; Ascomycota; Sordariomycetes; Sordariales; Sordariaceae. The record is from RNAcentral.
GAUGUAAUAAAAAAAAUUUUUUUUAAUUUUAUAUUACAUCAAUAAAAAUAGAUGAGUUUGGUGAUGGCUCUGAUUGAACACUGUUCAAAUACUUGACACAUGCUAAUCGAACGUUUAAUUUUUGGCCUAAGAAAGGGGUUUCAUCGUGGCUUAAGCUAAGGGGUUUAUUGUGGCUUAAGCUAAGGUUUAAUCUUUGACUUAAGCGGGUGUUUUAGGGGAACUUGUGCCCCUAAAACCUCUUAAUUAAAAGUGGUGUACAGGUGAGUAUAAUAUUUUUUCGCUUAACUUAAAGUGAAGGCAAAUCCUUCAUAUUGCAAAAGGAUAUCUUAGGCACCUGUUGAAAGGGGCCUACUUAUAUUAUAUCCGCUUUAAGAGGAUGAGAAAAGUUUCAGAGAUAGGUAGUUGUUAAGGUCAUGGCUUAACAAGCCAAUAAUUCUCUUAGUCGAAGCUGAAAAGGCUGAUCGACCACAUUGGGAAUGAAAAAAUCCCAAGGCAAAUAGGUACAGCAGUGAGGAAUCUUGGUCAAUGGGCCCACGCCUGAACUGGUAACUUGGAGGAAUGAGGGGUCAACUUUGCAAAUGGAUGAGUGAUCGUUAGAAGAUCCUUAGUCCCCUGGUCUUCUUGACACAUGAGGUAUAUACUUCUAGUCCAUAUUGGGGGGAGACUCCACGUCGAUUUAUCGAGUAAAAUUCUGUAUACAUAUUGGAUAAUGACAAUAUGUACAUUUGUCUUGACUAAUUACGUGCCAGCAGUCGCGGCAAUACGUAAGAGACUAGUGUUAAUCAUCAUAAAUAGGUUUAAAGGGUACUCAGACGGAAAAAUUCGCCCAAAUAUAGGGGACAAUUUUUCUAGAGUUUUAUGUAAGAAGGUCGUACUCUAGAGUGGAGAGAUAAAAUUCUGUGAUACCUAGGGGACGGGUAAAGGCGAAGGCAAUCUUUUAUGUAAAAACUGACGUCGAAGGACGAAGGCAAAGGGAACAAAAAGGAUUAGAUACCCCAGUAGUCUUUGCAGACAAUUAUGAAUGCCAUAGGUUAGAUUUUUAAUUUAGUCUAUAAAUGAAAGUGUAAGCAUUUCACCUCAAGAGUAAGGCGGCAACGCAGGAACUGAAAUCACUAGACCGUUUCUGACACCAGCAAUGAAGUAUGUUAUUUAAUUCGGUGACCCACGAAAAACCUUACCACAAUUGAAUAUUAAUAAUAAUGAUAUUAUUUUUUAUGCUUGAUAUGGCAAGCACUCAAUUUUCCCCUCCCCGUAGGUUUGCCGCGGGGGGGGAGAAAAAAGAAAAAUAAUGGAUAAUAUAGUAAAUACCAUAUUCCAACUAUAUUUAAUUAUUAAUACAAGUGUUGCACGGCUGUCUUCAGUUGAUGUUGCGAAACUGUGGUUCGUUCCAUGGAAUUAACGUAAACCCUUGCUUUAUUUGUAAAUAUUAUAAAGCAGUUCACCUUUAUAUAGGAAAUGAUAAAAGGGAUCAGACAAGUCAUCAUGGCCUAAAUAUUGUGGGCUAUAGACGCGCCACAUUUUCCUAAACAAAGAGAUGCAAAAAUGUGAAUUUUAGCUAAUCUCAAAAAAUAGGAUAAAAAUAUACAAGGAUUGUAGUCUGAAAUUCGGACUGCAUGAAUAAGAAAUUGCUAGUAAUCGUGAAUCACCAUGACACGGUGAAUAUUCCCUCGGAUUGGUACUAACCACUCGUCACAUGCUGAAAGGAGUGCGUGCAAUAAGUUUGCUUUUCUAUUAUAAGUAAGUAGACAUAUAGGUUUAGAUGUUAUAAUAGGAUCCUUCGUAUGCGCGGCUCUGAUUAGUGUUAAGUCGAAAUACGGUUCGUGUAGUGGAAGUUGCACGGGACUUAUCAAUGUUGAACAAUACGAUUGGAUAUACACCCCUUGGGUUCGUGGCGAAAAUUGCCUCGUUCCAUUUUAUAGGGAAAAUAUAUCCUUAUGUAUAUAUUCUUUAUUUUAAAGUAUAUAUAUAUAA